GGGUUGUGAGGUUAAGCGACUAAGCGUACACGGUGGAUGCCCUGGCAGUCAGAGGCGAUGAAGGACGUGCUAAUCUGCGAUAAGCGUCGGUAAGGUGAUAUGAACCGUUAUAACCGGCGAUUUCCGAAUGGGGAAACCCAGUGUGUUUCGACACACUAUCAUUAACUGAAUCCAUAGGUUAAUGAGGCGAACCGGGGGAACUGAAACAUCUAAGUACCCCGAGGAAAAGAAAUCAACCGAGAUUCCCCCAGUAGCGGCGAGCGAACGGGGAGCAGCCCAGAGCCUGAAUCAGUGUGUGUGUUAGUGGAAGCGUCUGGAAAGGCGCGCGAUACAGGGUGACAGCCCCGUACACAAAAAUGCACAUGCUGUGAGCUCGAUGAGUAGGGCGGGACACGUGGUAUCCUGUCUGAAUAUGGGGGGACCAUCCUCCAAGGCUAAAUACUCCUGACUGACCGAUAGUGAACCAGUACCGUGAGGGAAAGGCGAAAAGAACCCCGGCGAGGGGAGUGAAAAAGAACCUGAAACCGUGUACGUACAAGCAGUGGGAGCACGCUUAGGCGUGUGACUGCGUACCUUUUGUAUAAUGGGUCAGCGACUUAUAUUCUGUAGCAAGGUUAACCGAAUAGGGGAGCCGAAGGGAAACCGAGUCUUAACUGGGCGUUAAGUUGCAGGGUAUAGACCCGAAACCCGGUGAUCUAGCCAUGGGCAGGUUGAAGGUUGGGUAACACUAACUGGAGGACCGAACCGACUAAUGUUGAAAAAUUAGCGGAUGACUUGUGGCUGGGGGUGAAAGGCCAAUCAAACCGGGAGAUAGCUGGUUCUCCCCGAAAGCUAUUUAGGUAGCGCCUCGUGAAUUCAUCUCCGGGGGUAGAGCACUGUUUCGGCAAGGGGGUCAUCCCGACUUACCAACCCGAUGCAAACUGCGAAUACCGGAGAAUGUUAUCACGGGAGACACACGGCGGGUGCUAACGUCCGUCGUGAAGAGGGAAACAACCCAGACCGCCAGCUAAGGUCCCAAAGUCAUGGUUAAGUGGGAAACGAUGUGGGAAGGCCCAGACAGCCAGGAUGUUGGCUUAGAAGCAGCCAUCAUUUAAAGAAAGCGUAAUAGCUCACUGGUCGAGUCGGCCUGCGCGGAAGAUGUAACGGGGCUAAACCAUGCACCGAAGCUGCGGCAGCGACGCUUAUGCGUUGUUGGGUAGGGGAGCGUUCUGUAAGCCUGUGAAGGUGUGCUGUGAGGCAUGCUGGAGGUAUCAGAAGUGCGAAUGCUGACAUAAGUAACGAUAAAGCGGGUGAAAAGCCCGCUCGCCGGAAGACCAAGGGUUCCUGUCCAACGUUAAUCGGGGCAGGGUGAGUCGACCCCUAAGGCGAGGCCGAAAGGCGUAGUCGAUGGGAAACAGGUUAAUAUUCCUGUACUUGGUGUUACUGCGAAGGGGGGACGGAGAAGGCUAUGUUGGCCGGGCGACGGUUGUCCCGGUUUAAGCGUGUAGGCUGGUUUUCCAGGCAAAUCCGGAAAAUCAAGGCUGAGGCGUGAUGACGAGGCACUACGGUGCUGAAGCAACAAAUGCCCUGCUUCCAGGAAAAGCCUCUAAGCAUCAGGUAACAUCAAAUCGUACCCCAAACCGACACAGGUGGUCAGGUAGAGAAUACCAAGGCGCUUGAGAGAACUCGGGUGAAGGAACUAGGCAAAAUGGUGCCGUAACUUCGGGAGAAGGCACGCUGAUAUGUAGGUGAGGUCCCUCGCGGAUGGAGCUGAAAUCAGUCGAAGAUACCAGCUGGCUGCAACUGUUUAUUAAAAACACAGCACUGUGCAAACACGAAAGUGGACGUAUACGGUGUGACGCCUGCCCGGUGCCGGAAGGUUAAUUGAUGGGGUUAGCGCAAGCGAAGCUCUUGAUCGAAGCCCCGGUAAACGGCGGCCGUAACUAUAACGGUCCUAAGGUAGCGAAAUUCCUUGUCGGGUAAGUUCCGACCUGCACGAAUGGCGUAAUGAUGGCCAGGCUGUCUCCACCCGAGACUCAGUGAAAUUGAACUCGCUGUGAAGAUGCAGUGUACCCGCGGCAAGACGGAAAGACCCCGUGAACCUUUACUAUAGCUUGACACUGAACAUUGAGCCUUGAUGUGUAGGAUAGGUGGGAGGCUUUGAAGUGUGGACGCCAGUCUGCAUGGAGCCGACCUUGAAAUACCACCCUUUAAUGUUUGAUGUUCUAACGUUGACCCGUAAUCCGGGUUGCGGACAGUGUCUGGUGGGUAGUUUGACUGGGGCGGUCUCCUCCUAAAGAGUAACGGAGGAGCACGAAGGUUGGCUAAUCCUGGUCGGACAUCAGGAGGUUAGUGCAAUGGCAUAAGCCAGCUUGACUGCGAGCGUGACGGCGCGAGCAGGUGCGAAAGCAGGUCAUAGUGAUCCGGUGGUUCUGAAUGGAAGGGCCAUCGCUCAACGGAUAAAAGGUACUCCGGGGAUAACAGGCUGAUACCGCCCAAGAGUUCAUAUCGACGGCGGUGUUUGGCACCUCGAUGUCGGCUCAUCACAUCCUGGGGCUGAAGUAGGUCCCAAGGGUAUGGCUGUUCGCCAUUUAAAGUGGUACGCGAGCUGGGUUUAGAACGUCGUGAGACAGUUCGGUCCCUAUCUGCCGUGGGCGCUGGAGAACUGAGGGGGGCUGCUCCUAGUACGAGAGGACCGGAGUGGACGCAUCACUGGUGUUCGGGUUGUCAUGCCAAUGGCACUGCCCGGUAGCUAAAUGCGGAAGAGAUAAGUGCUGAAAGCAUCUAAGCACGAAACUUGCCCCGAGAUGAGUUCUCCCUGACCCUUUAAGGGUCCUGAAGGAACGUUGAAGACGACGACGUUGAUAGGCCGGGUGUGUAAGCGCAGCGAUGCGUUGAGCUAACCGGUACUAAUGAACCGUGAGGCUUAACCUUACAACGCCGAAG
Molecule: ribosomal RNA, 2925 nt
Filed under: Escherichia coli
Lineage: Bacteria; Pseudomonadati; Pseudomonadota; Gammaproteobacteria; Enterobacterales; Enterobacteriaceae
Description: partial 23S ribosomal RNA
Rfam family: Bacterial large subunit ribosomal RNA
Source: RNAcentral